Molecule: transfer RNA, 71 nt
Filed under: Microcaldota archaeon
Lineage: Archaea; Nanobdellati; Microcaldota
Also listed under: 1 other name
Description: Candidatus Micrarchaeota archaeon (hot springs metagenome) tRNA-Gly
Rfam family: tRNA
About the family: Transfer RNA (tRNA) molecules are approximately 80 nucleotides in length. Their secondary structure includes four short double-helical elements and three loops (D, anti-codon, and T loops).
Source: RNAcentral
GCGGCCAUAGUCUAGUGGUAGGAUGUCAGCUUGCCAAGCUGAAGACCCGGGUUCGAAUCCCGGUGGCCGCA